This 274-nucleotide long non-coding RNA is filed under the name Eucalyptus grandis. RNAcentral's name for it is "long non-coding RNA (EGRA_LNC004585)". Lineage: Eukaryota; Viridiplantae; Streptophyta; Magnoliopsida; Myrtales; Myrtaceae. The record is from RNAcentral.
CCGGAAGUAAACCAUUAAGGGCGACACGUGCCAGCCACCACACACGUGUCAUUGGGUAAGUUGUUAAGAGUCUCAAGCUAGAUUAGCGGCAGGAGCUUCAAACACUAAAUCUUCUCGAUGAAAUUCUAGUGCCUGCCCAGUUAAGUUACCACAUGUAUCUUGAUUUACGUAUUUCAUAAUAUCCAAAAUAAUAUCUUGAAUUUUGACGGGAAAAAUAAACACAUGCUUCUUUUAUUAUUAAGAAAUUGUGAAAAAUGAAUCAAACCAUUUCCGG